CCUACGGGGGGCAGCAGUGGGGAAUAUUGCGCAAUGGGCGAAAGCCUGACGCAGCGACGCCGCGUGAGGGAUGAAGGCUUUCGGGUUGUAAACUUCUUUUCUCAGGGACGAAGCAAGUGACGGUACCUGAGGAAUAAGCCACGGCUAACUACGUGCCAGCAGCCGCGGUAAUACGUAGGUGGCAAGCGUUAUCCGGAUUUAUUGGGUGUAAAGGGCGUGUAGGCGGGGAGGUAAGUCAGAUGUGAAAACCACGGGCUCAACCUGUGGCCUGCAUGUGAUACUGUGUUUCUUGAGUACUGGAGAGGUAGACGGAAUUCGUGGUGUAGCGGUGAAAUGCGUAGAUAUUAGGAGGAACACCAGUGGCGAAGGCGGUCUGCUGGACAGCAACUGACGCUGAGGCGCGAAAGCGUGGGGAGCAAACAGGAUUAGAUACCCUAGUAGUC
This 443-nucleotide ribosomal RNA is filed under the name uncultured bacterium. Its description in RNAcentral is "partial 16S ribosomal RNA". It matches the Rfam family "Bacterial small subunit ribosomal RNA", at positions 338 to 795 of the family's 1533-position model. The record is from RNAcentral.